GGGCUGAUGAUCGGUUCCUGGGCUUAAGCGUGUGUAGGCGGGAGCGUAAGCAUUUUGUGAAAUCCCCCGGCUCAACCGGGGCAUUGCUUGAUGUACUGCGUUCCUUGAGGCAAGUAGGGGUGCGAGGAACUCUUGGUGGAGCGGUGGAAUGCGUAGAUAUCAAGAGGAACGCCGAUGGUGAAGACAUCGCACUAGGCUUGUCCUGACGCUGAGACACGAAAGCGUGGGGAGCGAACGGGAUUAGAUACCCCGGUAGUCCACGCCGUAAACGAUGCUUACUAGAUUGUGGCGGUUCUGACGCCGGCACAGUCGAAGCCAAAGUGUUAAGUAAGCCGCCUGGGGAGUACGGUCGCAAGGCUAAAACUCAAAGGAAUUGACGGGGGCUCACACAAGCGGUGGAGCAUGUGGAUUAAUUCGAAGCAACGCGCAGAACCUUACCUGGGUUUGACAUGCUUGGAUGCCUUUCUGGAAACAGAGUAGGCUACCCUUCGGGGUGAAACUUGCACAGGUGCUGCAUGGCUGUCGUCAGCUCGUGUCGUGAGAUGUCGGGUUAAGUCCCUUAACGAGCGAAACCCUUACCGUUAGUUGCCAGCGGGUCAUGCCGGGGACUCUAACGGGACUGCCGGUGUUAAACCGGAGGAAGGUGGGGAUGACGUCAAGUCAUCAUGGCCUUUAUGCCCAGGGCCUCACACGUGCUACAAUGGCCGGUACAAAGCGACGCGAGACCGCAAGGUGGAGCUAAUCGCAAAAAAGCGGCCCCAGUUCGGAUUGUAGGCUGGCAACUCGCCUGCAUGAAGUUGGAAUCGCUAGUAAUCGCGGAUCAGCUAUGCCGCGGUGAAUGUGUUCCUGAGCCUUGUACACACCGCCCGUCAAGUGAUGGGAGUUGGAAGUACCCGAAGUCGGGUUGCUAACCCGCAA
Molecule: ribosomal RNA, 918 nt
Filed under: uncultured bacterium
Lineage: Bacteria
Description: bacterial SSU rRNA
Rfam family: Bacterial small subunit ribosomal RNA
Source: RNAcentral